RNAcentral lists this ribosomal RNA (441 nucleotides) under uncultured bacterium. Its description in RNAcentral is "partial 16S ribosomal RNA". It matches the Rfam family "Bacterial small subunit ribosomal RNA", at positions 338 to 795 of the family's 1533-position model. The record is from RNAcentral.
CCUACGGGAGGCAGCAGUGAGGAAUAUUGCACAAUGGGGGAAACCCUGAUGCAGCAACGCCGCGUGAAGGAAGACGGUCCUCGGAUUUUAAACCUUCGUUCUUAGUGAAGAAUAAUGACGGUAGCUAAGGAGCAAGCCACGGCUAACUACGUGCCAGCAGCCGCGGUAAUACGUAGGUGGCAAGCGUUGUCCGGAAUUACUGGGUGUAAAGGGAGCGCAGGCGGGUAGCCAAGUCAGCUGUGAAAACUACGGGCUUAACUUGUAGACUGCAGUUGAAACUGGUUUUCUUGAGUGAAGUUGAGGUUGGCGGAAUUCGGGGUGUAGCGGUGAAAUGCGUAGAUAUUCGGAAGAACACCGAUGGCGAAGGCGGCCAACUGGGCUUUAACUGACGCUGAGGCUCGAAAGUGUGGGGAGCAAACAGGAUUAGAUACCCCGGUAGUC